GAUGAAGAACGUAGCGAAAUGCGAUAAGUAAUGUGAAUUGCAGAAUUCAGUGAAUCAUCGAAUCUUUGAACGCAUCUUGCGCUCCUUGGUAUUCUGAGGAGCAUGCCUGUUUGAGUGUCAUUAAAUUCUCAACUACACUGACUUUGAAUUGGUGUGGCUUGGAUUUGGGGGGAAAAUUGUUGUGGGCUUUUUGUAUAGUCUGCUCCCCUGAAAUUGAUUAGCGGUACCUUUGUGGAACUGUCUACAGGUGUGAUAAUUAUCUACAUCUUAGACAUCUGCUGGAAUGCUGCUUUCUAAACCUUACUUGUAUUGACAAUCUUGACCUCAAAUCAGGUAGGACUACCCGCUGAACUUAAGCAUAUCAAUAAGCGAGGA
This 375-nucleotide unclassified non-coding RNA is filed under the name soil metagenome. RNAcentral describes it as "partial contains 5.8S ribosomal RNA, internal transcribed spacer 2, and large subunit ribosomal RNA". The stretch from base 1 to 120 matches the Rfam family "5.8S ribosomal RNA", at positions 35 to 154 of the family's 154-position model. The record is from RNAcentral.